UACGUAGGGAGCGAGCGUUGUCCGGAUUCAUUGGGCGUAAAGAGCUCGUAGGCGGCUUGUCGCGUCGUCCGUGAAAACUUGGGGCUCAACCCCAAGCUUGCGGUCGAUACGGGCAGGCUAGAGUUCGGUAGGGGAGACUGGAAUUCCUGGUGUAGCGGUGAAAUGCGCAGAUAUCAGGAGGAACACCGGUGGCGAAGGCGGGUCUCUGGGCCGAUACUGACGCUGAGGAGCGAAAGCGUGGGGAGCGAACAGG
Molecule: ribosomal RNA, 253 nt
Filed under: uncultured bacterium
Lineage: Bacteria
Description: partial 16S ribosomal RNA
Rfam family: Bacterial small subunit ribosomal RNA
Source: RNAcentral